UUUUGAGAAAUACUCUCCCCAUUGCCAUAAUCCUCAGCACUCUACUGCAGAGGGUUUUUUCUUCUACUGCUUUCUGCCUCGGUGUUUGUUGGUGUGUGUGUGUGUGUGUGUGUGUGUGUGUGUGUGUGUGUGUGUGAUGUAGAGGAGGGGUAUGGCAUGCUGUGGAGUCAGUUUUCCCCUCCCACCUUUUUGGGGGUCCCAGGGCUCUAGCUCAGGUCAUCAGAAUUCUGUGGUAUACACUUUCCCCUGAUGAAUGAUAGGCUCUCCACCUUGGUUAUUGGAGACAGGGUCCCUUGCUGAACCCAGAGCUCACUAAUUGGCUAGAUUGGCUGUGUUUGUCUCCUGCUAGGGUUACAUGCGUGUGUCACUGUGCUUGGCUUUUAUGUGUGUUCUAGGGAAUGCAAAUGCAGGCUUUUAUGCAUCUGGGGGCAGGCACCUUACCAACUGUACUGCCUUCUAGCCCUGGUUCUGGGAUCUAACCCAUUCUCGGUGAUGCUAAGGAAGUGGAGGACUCUGAGAAUCAUGGCUUUACUGAGUCCUAGACAGAAAGGCAGAGAGCCAGUCUGUCAUCAAGUGUGUUGUGAGGUUUCUGUCCUACUUGGCAUUUCUUGUGUUUGAUGCUACUUUCUAGGCACUGGUGGAAGUUGGGUUUGAAAUAUAAGCAGUUUUGGACCCAGAGUUGGGUCCUAAAGUCUCAAGAGGCAGAAAGGACCUGGCUACUUGGGGGUAGCCAAGACUCAGUCAAGAGCAGGCCCAGAGUACCUGAAGCAGUGGGAGUAUGAGCUCAACCUCAAGAGAUUACAGGACUGAGAGAUGGUCCAUAGGUGAACAGUGGAUGAACAUCAGGGGGUACCUGGACCCCUGCCUUAAAGGAAAGGAAGAGGAAUAGUCAUUAUUGAACGGGAAGGCUGGCAGGAGCGACCAGAGGUAGGGGGAGAGUGGAGCGAGCUGGUGAUGGAGAGCUGUGGCCUUAUCAUUAGAGGGAGAACUGUUGGCACACACCGAAGGCCAAAGCUUAAAUAGUUAAAGAGCGAGGUUCUCAGGCCCAUGAGGGCAGGAAGUGGGUGUCCUGUUACCCUUGUACACAGCAUGCCUGGUUACCUGCUGUUGUCAGAGGCAUGGCUUGUUGUGAGCAACUGUCUCUGACGCUCUGGUGGUGAGGCUGCAACCUGGAGCUAAGCAUGGUCCUCUUUCAGCUCCUUGGCCCGUGGUCCUGGUGGCAUUCUACCCCUGUGGUCAGCCCAGAGCCUCUUCUGCCCAUGCAGUACCCAGCAGCCACUGCGGAAGGCCUUAGUGGCCCGCUGUCCGGGGCCUACACGCUUCCCGCCUUCAAGUUCCAGCCUCGCCGUGAAAGCAUAGACUGGAGACGAAUCAGUGCCGUGGACGUGGACCGUGUGGCCCGGGAGCUGGACGUGGCCACACUGCAGGAGAACAUUGCUGGCGUCACCUUCUGUAACCUGGACGGGGAGGUGUGCAACCACUGUAGGCAGCCGGUGGACCCGGUGCUGCUCAAGGUACUGCGCCUGGCACAGCUCAUCAUUGAGUACCUGCUGCAUUGCCAGGACUGCCUGAGUGCCAGCGUGGCACAGCUGGAAGCACGGCUGCAGGCCAGCCUGGGCCAGCAGCAGCGUGGCCAGCAGGAGCUGGGUCGCCAGGCCGAUGAGCUCAAGGGCGUUCGGGAGGAGAGCCGGCGUAGGCGAAAGAUGAUCAGCACCCUGCAGCAGCUGCUUCUGCAGACGAGUGCCCAUAGCUACCACACGUGCCACUUGUGUGACAAGACCUUCAUGAAUGCCACCUUUCUCCGGGGCCACAUCCAACGCAGACAUGCAGGCAUGGCAGAUGUCGGAAAGCAGAAGCAGGAACAGCCACUGGGGGAGGUGCUGGAGGAGCUUCGGGCCAAGCUCAAGUGGACCCAAGGGGAGCUGGAAGCCCAGAGGGAGGCUGAGCGGCAGCGGCAGGUCCAGGAAUUAGAGAUGGCUCGUCAGCGGGAAAUGGAAGCUAAAAAAAAGUUCGAUGAAUGGAAAGAAAAAGAACGCAGCAAGCUUUAUGGAGAGAUAGACAAGCUGAAACAGCUGUUUUGGGAUGAAUUCAAAACUGUUGCCAACCAGAACUCCACGUUAGAAGAGAAACUGAAGGCACUGCAGUCCUACAGCAUGACGGAGUCUCACCUUGGGUCUCUGCGGGAUGAAGAGUCAGAGGAGAGACUCAAGCAUGCCCAGGAGGUCCAGGCCCUUCAAGAAAAGAUGGAAGUCCAGAAAACAGAGUGGAAGAGGAAAAUGAAGGCCCUGCAUGAAGAGCGGGCAGCUGAGAGGAGACAGCUGCAGGAGGAGAAUGAGAGGCUCCACGUGUCCCUGUCUCAGGACCAGAAGAAAGCAGCUGCCCAGUCUCAGCGCCAUAUCAAUGCCCUCCGUGCCCAGCUUCAAGAACAAGCCAGGCUUAUCGAGUCCCAGGAGGAGACGAUCCAGACUUUGUCCCUCAGGAAGGUGGAGGAAGUCCAAGAGAUGCCAAAGGCUGUGGCCACAGAGGAGGACUCUUCUGAAGAAGAGCUCGAGGCCUCCCUUGAGGAGCGGCAGGAGCAACGGAAGGUGUUAGCAGCUCUCAGGAAAAACCCCACUUGGCUGAAGCAGUUCCGGCCCAUCCUGGAGGACACCCUGGAAGAGAAGCUGGAGGGCCUGGGGAUCAAGAGGGACACAAAGGGAAUUUCUGCUCAGACUGUCCGACGUCUGGAGCCCCUGCUGAGAACCCAAAGGGAGCAGAUAGCCCGAAGCUUCCGAGAGUUUCCCAGUCUGAGGGAAAAGCUCAACAAGGAAGUGAGCAGCAGGGUGAAGCAAAGAUGGGAGAGUACGACCCAGCCAGAUGGCCAGCCUCCAGUCAAAAGCCAGCGGGUCACACUGGCCACAAGGGAGGUCCGGCCAAAGACCAGGACCUUGACUGUGGCCCUGCCAUCCAAACCAGCAGAACCUUCAACGCCAACUCUUCAGGGCCACAGCAGCCAUGGCCCCGGCCUCACCCAGGUGUCCACCCCCAUUCCACGCCCCAGAGUGCAUGGACCCUCCAGUACCCCUGUUUCCCCUGGGUCCGGGCUGAGCAGCACCCCGCCUUUUAGUUCUGAAGAAGAGCCAGAGGGAGAUGUCGUGCAACGUGUGUCCCUUCAGCCUCCUAAAGUUCUCCCUAGGUCAGCGGCCAAGCCUGAGGACAACUGGGGCUGGUCUGAUUCCGAGACCUCAGAGGAGAGUGCCCAACCUCCUGGGAAGGGCUCAGGCGGGCUGGCUUCUUCAGGGCGUCACGAUGAGGAGUUGAACCUUUCUCUUCUCAAAGUAAUGGCAUCUGCCCCCAGCCUUUCAAGGUUCGCUUAUAAAACCCACCAAAGGAAGUGAUGCUCCUGCUUCAGGCUGUGUUUCUCCGCCCAGGUGGAGAAUGGGGCGCUUACAGUUUUGACAUUGCAAAGGAGAAGCGAGGGGAGCCCUGGGGUUUGCAGUCUGUAAGCGCCUCCUUAUCUUAGUAGACUCCGAGAUGCUGCUUCAUGCCCGCUGCAUAGUCCAAGCCUGUCAGCCUGUGAGAAGCCACCAGGGUUAGUUUUCUGGAUGGAGCCUUGCUGCCUUAGUGGGCGGGCUGGCAAGAUGAUGGAGCUGGGAGAUCAUGUGUCUACUGAUACAGUUUGGCUGUGUUACCCUCUGCUUGGCCUUGUUCGAGGAUUCUGGUUUCUCUGUUGUAAGAGAUGACAUAUUUUAACAAGACAACUAAUAAGGAGGUUGAGGAACUCGGUGCUUGGCACAGAGUAGGAAUUUAAUAAGCAUUUCUGUCUUUUAAAGACUCAUUUUUAACUAUGUUGCAAGUCUGUGUGCAGGUAUGUGCAAGUGAUGCAGAUGGCCCCGUGGAGGCCAAAGGAGGGCGCUGGAAUCCUUGAAGCUGGAGUUGUGGGUGGUUGUGAGCUGACUGAUGGUGGUAGCCAAGCUCAGGUUAAAUGAGGUAGACCCUCUUAACCACUGGGCCAUUCAGCCCCGGGAACCACAAUGAUCAAUCAUCCAAGGGCUGUUAACAGCUCCAAAAGUCUGCAGAGAUUCUUAGCGUUUGAAUCCAGGGAGCUGGGUGAAGUUCAGGCUAUGCUUCUCCAUCAUCUUGGUUUACCAUGAGUGUGUGUGUGUGUGUGUGUGUGUGGCUAUUGAUAAUCCGAGUUACUGGUUAACACCUGCUUCCUGUAUGGAAUUCACAGGAAGUGAAUCUAAUCCACUGAUUAGAUCGGAGCCCUAUGUCUCACAGGCACGCCCCUGAGGUGUGCUCUACUAAUUCCCUAGGCCAUUUCCAAUCCAGUCAGCUUGACAAGGUUAGCCAUCACACAUUGCCUGACAUGCCAGUCUUUGUAGUUCAUGCAUUACAGAAUUACAGGAAUUAAACGGAAGGCUGGCUCUGCCUUGGAUUCAUUAGAGGGUUGGUCUUUCUAAACCUCCGCCAGCAGCCACGUCCUAACUCAGCACAGUUACAUGAUGAAGGCGGGUUUUUUUUGUCUGUUUGUUUGUUUUGCUCUAUCACCUGUCUGUCUGUCUGUCUGUCUGUCUAUCUAAGUCUCUUGAAACCAGGCUAGUAUUAGCCUGGACCAUCUCUAUAUUUUUUUUUCUCUGUGGGGGAGGGGAGGGGCUUGUCCUUUCUUUUUCCUCUUGACUCUCUCUCUCUCUCUCUCUCUCUCUCUCUCUCUCUCUCUCUCUCUCUCUCUCUGUCCAUCCGUUCACACUGGAGCCUAGGUGUGGCCCAAAGGGACUAAGCAUUCACUCUCCAGGUUUGCUCCACUGACCUGGUUCCUUGUCCCCUUCCCAGGAACACUGGUGCAGUCAAUUGUCAAAAACCUUGAGAAGCAGCUUGAAACGCCAGCCAAGAAGCCUUCCGGAGGGGUCAAUAUGUUCUUAAGGCCCAACGCUGCCCUCCAGAGGGCUUCCACACCAGCAAGGAAGUCUCAGCUUUCAGAAGAUGAGAGUGACGUGGAGAUCUCGUCUUUGGAAGAUCUCUCCCAAGACCUGGGCCAGAAAGGAAAGCCAAAGCCUUUGUCCCACUCAAAGCUCCCAGAAAAGUUUGAUGUCAGCCCUUGGAGCUCGGGGUCACGACCCAGGAUUCCUGGCUGGUGAUUCUCUUAUGUUUGCCAGAGGGCUUAGCCUUGUUUCUUGGCUGGUCUCACCCAAAUGGAAGAGGCCGUCAGGCCUCCCGCUCUCACUAGCAGCCAAGAAAUCUUUCCCUUGAAGAGAAGCAGGGUAGGAGACAGACAGAACCUCUAUCCACCCCCCGACCGCUACCCCAAAAGGCUGGCUCCUGGUGCUGGGUCUUGUGUAAAUGUGAGAGGGAUUGUAACAGGACUUCCUAGUGUUUCUUCCAUGAUCCCCAUGUCCAGCCCAGACUGAAAGUAGUUACUCUUUCUAAGUUUUUGUAAUCUGCAGGUCAACGUGGAGUUGGGUUCUGAGUCAGUUACCAGUUAGGUAGUCUAUGGUGGACUCUCUAGCUUUUCACUACUGAAUUGGGGUGCAGACAGAGGUAAGAGGUACAACGUGCUUGCUACCAGGGCCAGGCAUAGUAAUCGAGUGCUAGCCUGCUACCAGGGCCAGGCAUAGUAAUCGAGUGCUAGCCUGCUACCAGGGCCAGGCAUAGUAAUCGAGUACUAGGCAUUAGAGUGUUGGGAUGGCAUGGUUGAGGCUGGCUGCCCUACUUUCAUUUCUGUUGCUGUGAUAAACACUCCGACCAAAAGCACCUUAGAGGAAGAAAGGCUUUGUUAGUCUAUGACUGCAAGGAGAUGAAGGCUGGACCAUGAAGGUAGACCUGCUUGCUGUUCCACACAGCACUACCUCUGACCAAGUAAUUCACUUCACAGCCAAAGAAACAUGUUAGGAACCCUAGAGGAUACUGCUUGCUAACUGCAGCUGUGUGCUAGCUCUUUUUAUACAGUUCAGGACCUCCUGCCUAGGGAUGGUACUGCCCACAGUAGGCUGGGUUCUCCUACAUCCGUGAACAAUCUAGACAAUCCCUCACAGACAUUGCCCUCAAAGCACUUCCUCUGAGGAGGCUCUCCUCUUGGACAGUUCUCAGUUGUGACAAAUGGAUAUUUAAAACUAACCAGAACACCAUUCCACCCAGUCCAGGAUGACCCUGGAGAAAGCCCCAGAGUUGUGUUGUGUGGUGGAGCUUGGUCAUGGGCAAUAAAAAGAGCAAUCUGGAUGAAGCCUCUUGUCCCCAAUAGAACCAUAAAUUUAAUUUUUGAGAUUGUUUCUGAAUGAGAUUUUUUUAUAUAUAUUGACUGUAUUUUUGGGCAGAGAGGGGUUGGGUUUUAAAAAUAUUUUUAUUUAUUAUUAUUUUUUAUUUUUUUAUUUUUUUUGAGACAGGGUUUCCCUGUGUGGCCCUGGCUGUUCUGGAACUCUCUCUACAGCCUAGGCUGCUCUUGAACUCAGAGAUCUGCCUGCCUCUGCCUCCUGAGUGCUGAGAUUAAAGAUGUCCAUGGUGGCACGUAGCUUACAUUGUAUUUUUUUUUUUUAGUGUGAAAACAUUUAUUUAUUAUACUGAACAUUUAAAUAUAAUGAUGUAUACACCUCUUUAUUAUGUCGUUCUUUGUUAUUUUUUUCAAGCUUUGUGGCGACUGAGGGUGGUGAAGAGGGAGUGAAGCAGCUUCCACCUCAGUUGUACCAGCUUAGGGCCUUUGGGAUGCAGUGAUCGAGGUGUGGUAAGACAGCCAGUUUUACUGAGGUGCUUUACCUGGGCAAGGUAAAGGUGGCUGAAAUGGGGUCUGACAGCGGAAGAUUGCAGAGUGGAAAAAUGGAAAGGCAUGUUCUAGUCAGUGCUCUAUUGCUGUGAACAGACACCAUGAUUGUGGCCAGUCUUAUAAAGGCAAACAUUUAAGUAGAGCUGGCUUACAGUUUCAGAGGUUCAGUCCAUUGCCAUCAUGGAGGGGAGCAUGGGCACACAGGCAGACAUGGUUCAGGCAGCAGGAAGAGAGAGAUACUGGUCCUGGCUUGGGCUCUGAAACUUCAAAGCCCACCCCCAGUGACACACUUCCUCUAACAAGGCCACACCUCCACCAACAAGGCCACACUCCAUAAUCCUUUCAAAUAGUGCCACUCCCUGGUGACCAAGCAUUCAAAUCUGUGUGCCUGUAGGGGCCAUGCUUAUUCAAACUACCACAAGGCAGAAACAGGGAGAACCCAGACAGCAAUGCAGGGCUCUCACAGGAGAGCUACAGAGUCAGGACUGCCUACUGUAGUGUCCCCAAACCUUUGUUACUGCACUGUGCUUUAUCAUUGGCUGGGGGAUCCUGGGGUCGCAUGAGACCUCAGCUGUGAACUCUGUCAGCCAAUUAUAUUCCUUGCAUUUGAAUAGAGACUUUAAUAUCCUAAGAGAAAAAUAGUCAUCUUAAA
Mus musculus (house mouse) is the source of this 7385-nucleotide RNA transcript. It is a transcript of the gene named DAZ interacting protein 1-like, with no coding region annotated. The transcript is spliced from 16 exons. The record is from RefSeq and is marked validated. NCBI's taxonomy places the organism in Eukaryota, Metazoa, Chordata, Mammalia, Rodentia, Muridae.